AAAUAGAACUUUGCAGAGAGAGUUAACAGGGCGUGAAACCGUUAAUUGGCAAACGAAUCGGAGCCACGAAGUCGUUUCGUUGAUAGUUUGAUUGAGUUCAGUGUUUAUGUUGCUGCACAAGUAGCGUAAGCGCGUACUCUCAUGUUGAACCAUCUUUGUAAGCGUACACUGCAACUAGUUAGACGAUUGUUAAUGGGCCCAGUUGUUGUGAGAGGUAGUAGAUUGACUCCGUGAAUGCGGAUGCUUGAUUUGCUGGCUCGCAAUAAGUGAGCUAUUGACAAAUACUGACUAGCAAAAUGAAAAUCACCUUCAUUUGAAGUGUGUUGUAUAGACAAGGCGCUGGCAGCGCAUACUGUUACGCAGUUGGCGCGUAAGUUUUUAAAGUUCAGUACUUUUGAAUUUAGACUUGCUUGCUAUCAACGGGGCAACUCUUGGUGCAAGUAUAGCUUCUAUCUAAUCGGGUAUUGACUUGGCUUGCGUGAUAGUCAGCUGUGAAUCGUUUGAUGGUAUGCGUUAGUUAGUUGCAAUUUAAAUUGGCAGUGAGUAGGUCGGCUUUCCGAACGACCCGUCUUGAAACACGGACCAAGGAGUCUAGUUAGGCAUCGAGUCGAUCGGUCUUGAAUAGGCCAGCUUGUUGAGUGCGUACUGAUCGAAGGCGUAGAGAAUCAUGUGAUCUUGUGGCAAAAACCUAUGCUGCGAGCGCAACAUGUGCCUGCUCGUAUGCCAUUGUGCAACGUUUGGCUGGGCGGAGUAAAGAGAUGCUUGACUGGUACCCGAAAGAUGGUGAUGCUUGGGCAAAUUGAAGCCAGAGGAAACUCUGGUGGAGGAUUGUAGCGAUUCUGACGUGCAAAUCGAUCGUCAGACCUGAGUAUAGGGGCGAAAGACUAAUCGAACCAUC
This 898-nucleotide ribosomal RNA is filed under the name Cosella viburniae. RNAcentral's name for it is "partial large subunit ribosomal RNA". It matches the Rfam family "Eukaryotic large subunit ribosomal RNA", at positions 366 to 944 of the family's 3401-position model. Lineage: Eukaryota; Metazoa; Arthropoda; Arachnida; Trombidiformes; Eriophyidae. The record is from RNAcentral.